UACAGAGGUCUCAAGCGUUGUUCGGAUUCAUUGGGCGUAAAGGGUGCGUAGGUGGUGUGGUAAGUCGGGUGUGAAAUUUCGGAGCUUAACUCCGAAACUGCAUUCGAUACUGCUGUGCUUGAGGACUGGAGAGGAGACUGGAAUUUACGGUGUAGCAGUGAAAUGCGUAGAGAUCGUAAGGAAGACCAGUGGCGAAGGCGGGUCUCUGGACAGUUCCUGACACUGAGGCACGAAGGCCAGGGGAGCAAACGGG
This 253-nucleotide ribosomal RNA is filed under the name uncultured bacterium. RNAcentral's name for it is "partial 16S ribosomal RNA". It matches the Rfam family "Bacterial small subunit ribosomal RNA", at positions 524 to 776 of the family's 1533-position model. The record is from RNAcentral.